CAGCUGGGUAUGGCGGCAGGUGUCUGUAAUCCCAGCUACUCAGGAGGCUGAGGCAGGAGAAUCGCUUGAACCUGGGAGGUGGAGGUUGCAGUGAGCUGAGAUGGUAUCAUUGCAUUCCAGCCUGGUGACAAGAGGGAAACUCCGUCUCAGAAAAAAAAAAAAGAAAUCAUGCAGCAUUUGGCAACAGGGGUGAAUUUGGGAAGCCUGGGCCGUUCACUAAGGCCAUGCCAAUCACCUUCGUUAAUUGCUGAUGACAAGAGCUAGGAUUUGCAAGACAAAUAUGGCUUAUACUUUAGAGGAAUGGGAUUCGAAGAUGGAGAAAUAAAACGCCAAAAUCAAAAAAAUUUUAUGAAUGUCAUUUCUUUCUGAUAUCAUGAUAAUUCUCAUUACAAUAAAAAGAACCUGUGAGAUGAUUCCAUUUCUGGUGAGCGGAAAGUGCCGAGCGACUCUCCUUCUCAAGGAAGGUUGAGGAUUUUUGCACUUUGAAAUCCAACUAUGCAACUCAUUAUUUCUUUCAACUGUGGCCACAUUCAGGAUCCCAUGGUGUACUAAAAUCUCUUUGAAUCAGAAAGCAAAGAAGAAGGAAGAAACAUUGGCGUUUUCCCUGUCUCCAGCAUGGCUGUAGGAUGCAGAGUGAUUGAAAAUGGACAUUUAUUAAGAUGAUUAAUGUGUGCCCUCGGUUCUACGAGAUUGUCUGUAUAAAUUGUCUUUCCCUAUUCAGUCUUUGUAAUUUGCGCCUUCUCUAUUUUUCGGUAGAUAUUUUUUGCAUUUGGGGAGGUUUACUUUUUUUUUUUUUUUUUUUUAUAAAGUUUGCCUUUAUAGUAAGACUUUCAUACAAUACCAUUUGCAUUAGACGAAGGCCUAGUCAUGAGAAAAUCACAUCCGUUAACUGACCAGGGAGCAUUUACUCUAAUUAUUAACUCGGAAAAGAGAAGAGCUCCUAAUGGAUAAAGAGCACACGGGACAGCUGUGCAGGGAGCAAGUACCGCCUCCAGGGCUAAGGCAGGGCCCUAGGGAAGGAACACACUGAGAAAAAGCUCCCCACCCCAUGUACCCCAGGAAAGGAUGUGGCGCAGCGCCACUGCAUAUUCUGCUCCUAGAGACCAAAUUGUAAAAAUAACCUGCAUCAACUUGCAUGUAAAAAUAUACUGGUGGGGCCGGGCGCGGUGGCUCACACCUGUAAUCCCAGCACUUUGGGAGGCCGAUGUGAGUGGAUCACCUGAGGUCAAGAGUUCGAGACCAGCCUGGCCAACAUGGCGAAAACCCAUCUCUACUAAAAAUACAAAAUUAGCUGGGCAUGGUGGCGGGCGCCUGUAAUUCCAGCUACUCUGGAGGUUGAGGCAGGAGAAUCGCUUGAGCCUGGGAGGCAGAGGUUGCAGUGAACCGGGAUCACGCCAUAGCACUUUAGUCUGGGUGACAGACUCAGACACUGUCUCAAAAAAAAAAAAAAUACUGGUAGGAGAGAAAAAGAAAAUGGUUAGGACGUCUAAAUAAAAACACACAGAGGAGCAAAAAUAUGCAAAGCUACUUGUUUCUGUAUUGGUCAUGAGGCCGUAGUUGACAUAUUUGGCUUCCUUUGUCAAUGACUUGUUCCGUAUUUCCCCAGCUUUAGCUAGAACCUCUGCUCAUGCUGU
This 1634-nucleotide long non-coding RNA is filed under the name Homo sapiens (human). RNAcentral describes it as "HSALNT0049550". The record is from RNAcentral. Lineage: Eukaryota; Metazoa; Chordata; Mammalia; Primates; Hominidae.